RNAcentral lists this ribosomal RNA (727 nucleotides) under uncultured Pelagibacterales bacterium. RNAcentral describes it as "bacterial SSU rRNA". It matches the Rfam family "Bacterial small subunit ribosomal RNA", at positions 373 to 1116 of the family's 1533-position model. Lineage: Bacteria; Pseudomonadati; Pseudomonadota; Alphaproteobacteria; Candidatus Pelagibacterales. The record is from RNAcentral.
WNAGGAGACUCUGAUGCGCGAUGCCGCGUGAGUGAAGAAGGCCUUUGGGUUGUAAAGCUCUUUCGUCGGGGAAGAAAAUGACUGUACCCGAAUAAGAAGGUCCGGCUAACUUCGUGCCAGCAGCCGCGGUAAUACGAAGGGACCUAGCGUAGUUCGGAAUUACUGGGCUUAAAGAGUUCGUAGGUGGUUAAAAUAGUUGGUUGUGAAAUCCCGGAGCUUAACUCCGGAACUGCAAUCAAAACUUUUUAGCUAGAGUAUGAUAGAGGAAAGCAGAAUUUCUAGUGUAGAGGUGAAAUUCGUAGAUAUUAGAAAGAAUACCAAUUGCGAAGGCAGCUUUCUGGAUCAUUACUGACGCUGAGGAACGAAAGCAUGGGUAGCGAAGAGGAUUAGAUACCCUCGUAGUCCAUGCCGUAAACGAUGUGUGUUAGACGUUGGAAAUUUAUUUUUCAGUGUCGCAGCGAAAGCAGUAAACACACCGCCUGGGGAGUACGACCGCAAGGUUAAAACUCAAAUGAAUUGACGGGGACCCGCACAAGUAGUGGAGCAUGUGGUUUAAUUCGAAGAUACGCGCAGAACCUUACCAACACUUGACAUGUUCGUCGCGACUCUAAGAGAUUAGAGUUUUCGGUUCGGCCGGACGAAACACAGGUGCUGCAUGGCUGUCGUCAGCUCGUGUCGUGAGAUGUUGGGUUAAGUCCCGCAACGAGCGCAACCCUCACUUUUAGUU